Long non-coding RNA from Mus musculus (house mouse), 893 nucleotides. RefSeq annotates it as predicted gene, 51565. The transcript is spliced from 2 exons. NCBI's taxonomy places the organism in Eukaryota, Metazoa, Chordata, Mammalia, Rodentia, Muridae. The record is from RefSeq and is a predicted model, not a curated record.
CUCCAUGGCUCUUUGCGUCUGGGUCCUAGAGUCACCCGAGCUCAAAACGUGCGACUGACUACUUACUCUGUUCGGGUCUUAGUGAGACUAGGUUAAGAAAGUAAGGGCUGGAUUUUGAGGAAGAAGAAGAAGAAGAAACACUGAAGAGCAGCCAGGCUCCCUUUUUGUAAGUGGGCUCUGAAUUUGACAUCACUCAUUCGCUUAAGAGAACCUGAGACAGAGCUGCUUACUUAGAAAUUCAUCUGUCGAGAUAAAUAAUGAGGACAAAGCAGAUUUUCACUUUUCUUACCAGUGGAUGUGGUAGAGCAAAGCCCACAUCUUCAUCUAUGUGGUGGUCUUCAAGGAUCCUUCUAGAACCUUCUGUAGGAGAUAUUUUACUGAGUGCCAUUGCUGUCUACUCCACUGACCCCCCACUUGGCCACUGAAGGAAUGUCCCAGCAUCUCUUAUAGGGUUUAGCCAAACCCCACAGCUGACACGUAAUACUCGGGGAGAAGUGGCUUCCACCUGGGACAGUUUCAUUUUCUGUUUUAUGUAUUUGCAAUUUGAUAAACAACCAAACCACAAAGGAUCUCUCUUCGUCAUAUGAAGAAACUAAACAUUUGUGUUUCUUAUCAGAUUUAUCCCAUAAGGACAUCAACUGUUGGCUCUGAUGGCCUCAGCUUCCCAGUGCCAAUUAUGGUGACCGAGUGCACACUCAGGCCUCGGCCCUGGAAACCACCCCAUCAGUGGUUUGGGUGGCCACCUGUUACCCCAGCAGGAGGAUUGGGUGUUCAAGCCACAAAGUGCCCAACUCACAUGACAAGAACCAUGAGGACAGGUGACCAGGAGAAUGCAUUUUGCUUUAGAAAACGUUCAGAGUUUGGGUUUAAAAUAAAGACAGCCGAACUAGCAA